AACGAACGCUGGCGGCAUGCCUAACACAUGCAAGUCGAACGAGACCUCCGGGUCUGCUUGCUCACGGGGGCGUAACGCGUGGGAACCUGCCCUUAUGCUCGGAAUAACUCCUUGUAAGGGGUGCUAAUACCGGAUAAUGUCUUCGAAUCAAAGAUUUAUCGACCUUGGAUGAGCCCGCGUUGGCUUAGCUUGGUGGGAGGGUAAAAGCCUACCAAGGCGUCGAUCCAUAGCUGGUCUCAGAGGAUGAUCAGCCACACUGGGACUGAGACGCGGCCCAGACUACUACGGGAGGCAGGAGUGGGGAAUACUGGACAAUGGGCGAAGGCCUGAUCCAGCAAUGCCUCGUGAGUGAUGAUGGCCUUAGAGAUGAAAAGCUCUUUUACCCGCGAUUGUAAUGACAGUACCCGGAGAAUAAGCACCGGCUAACUCCGUG
RNAcentral lists this ribosomal RNA (433 nucleotides) under uncultured bacterium. RNAcentral's name for it is "partial 16S ribosomal RNA". It matches the Rfam family "Bacterial small subunit ribosomal RNA", at positions 29 to 507 of the family's 1533-position model. The record is from RNAcentral.